This is a non-coding RNA of Rattus norvegicus (Norway rat), 2319 nucleotides long. Lineage: Eukaryota; Metazoa; Chordata; Mammalia; Rodentia; Muridae. The record is from RefSeq and is a predicted model, not a curated record.
UUCACCUACAAAAUGGAAAUGUCAUUAUUAGUGUUGGAAGCAGCGAAUGUGACAACGUCAUAGGAACCAAAAUACAACAGUCAGAUUUUUUUCUGCCUUUUGCCAAACUAAAAAGUAUCCCUGUUUUGAAGGAUCAAGAAAUCAAUAGUUGUAUUAAAAGCUGAAACAAAUAAGACAAGGUCACUUGGGUGAAGAGAGGGGGGAAAAAGAAGCAAACAUAAUUCCCUGGCUUCUUAAAUCUUAAUUUCGACAGAUACAGACCUGACAAGUAGGGGAGGGGCUAUAAAGAAAUAUAAAGUAGGAAGGGUGUAUCAGAUAUUUCCUAAUUUCUUCAGAUAACAUUUCAACAUCUUUGAAAACUUAUUCCAUAAAAGAUAUAUCCUGGUUGUCAUCAAUUCAAUCUUGAUGCUACCUGGAGUUGAAGGCUUGUCCCUACAAAACUUCCCACUGUUUGUGAUGGAACUCCCAAACUUCAGUUGUUUUGCCUGUGUUUCUGACUCUAAACUGGGGUGUCUACCACCCUCGCUUCUCGAGUUCUAUUAAUUUGCUAGCAUGAAAGAUAUCAAGGAAAUGCAGGAUUUUUCUUCUUGUUGUUUACUAUAGGAGACCUUAAAGGACACAAAUGAACAAAUCGAAGACAAAGUCCAGAAGGACCCUAAGAAUUGGAGCUUCUCACCCCACAGGGUUGAAGUGUGUCACUCUCCUAGCACAUGGCUGUAUUCUUCUUGGUCUUUCUGAAAGCCUUGAAUUGCUAGGGGGUAGGGGGCAGGAGAAGCUGAGGCUUCAUUAGAUAUGAUUGAUGAAGUCAUAGGCUACUGUAAGUCAGUGUUACCUUUAUGCACCUCAUGGCCCCCACACACACACCCUCACCUCCCAUCCUCCCCCAUUCCAAAGAUAGAGCUGUGAGUUACAGCUGUCUUAGCCCUUGAUUGGUUCCACUGGCAACCAGCUAGCUCCCUGUAAUCACCUAAAGUACCUUAACAUAGUGGUUCUCCACCUUCCUAAUGCUGCGACCCUUUAAUACAGUUCCUCAUGUUGUGAUGACCCCCACUACAACAUUACUUCCAUUGCUACCUCAUAACUGUGAUUUUGCUACUGUUAUAAAUCAUAAUGUAAGUAUCUGAUAUGAAGUAUAUCUAAUAUGCAACUCCUGUGAAAGGGUGGGCUGACCCCCGCCCCCCAAAAGAGGUCUCAACUCCCCAGUUGAGAAAAGCCUCCUUAACAAACCAUGUUGAGUGUAGGGGCUGAUUCCUGCAAUCUCAGCACUCCACUCAGGCAGGAGAAUUGCCACAAAUUCAAAUCCAGCCUUGGUUUCAUAGUGAGUUCGAGGCCAGAUUAGGCUAGCAUGAAAUCGUUUUUCCAAACACUUUUAGCUCCCGGGAGCUGGAGGUGCAGAAGUGAAGAAAACAUAAAUUAGCAAAGCAAAAUAUGGAAUGACUUCAUUAACAGAAACUCAUAAAUGAUUGAAAUGGUCUUAUAAAUAACAAAAGGCUAUUUUCCUUGCGGAAAUGUUGAGAGAACAUAUAGGUGAGUGAAGUAUGGUAGAUGAAUAGACAUGAAUUACUGAUAGAUGGGGAGGCAGAUGGUAGGUGGGUAGAUAUGGAUGGAGAGAGAGAGAGAGAGAUGGAUGGAUAAAAGCCUCCUUGUUGGUCUCACCAUCUAGACAUCUUUCCUGACUUUCUAUACUUUUUUGUGUUCCUAGACAGAGAACAAUAUGAAUCUAACCCUGCAACUGAGGUAAAGAGUAGAUGUAUUGUAAGGGUCCACGACUUGCAAACACUGAUACCCCAUCCUCAAAUAAUCUGCCAUGUCGAAGAGAAUUUAUUCUGCAGAGAACCUGCAAGCAGGAGUCCACCAUACAUCAGGAUGGAAGACACAUGUGGACUUUGCAGGAAGAAGAAAACUAUGGUGAAAACUGGAAGGCACUCAGGAGGGUCACCAGCAAGAAAUGUACGCCUCUGCUUGCCCCCUUCCUAGUCACUGCUCAGCAUUCUUGUCAGGGUUCCCGGCAUGGUGUAUGUGGGUCACACACAAGUAUCCCAUGGUGACAGCUGGAAAGGCAGUGGCUCUGUUGUGUGACUCCAUGGGGGAAGAUCUUCUUUCCCACACUCUAGCCAAGCAAUCUGUUGGGGAGCAUGGAGAGCCAAAUGUUUGUUUGUAGGCGACCAAGACAUUGCCAAGAUUACCCUUGGAAGCAUGCUGAUGUUUACUACACUCUAACUUGUGUUAUAGGCCCAGUGCCUACAAUUACCAUCAUUUCCUGGUUCGUCUUUUAUUCACUGUGAUUAAUUAUCUUUCUAAUAUAUCCUUGCCUGAUGA